Molecule: long non-coding RNA, 277 nt
Filed under: Salvia miltiorrhiza (redroot sage)
Lineage: Eukaryota; Viridiplantae; Streptophyta; Magnoliopsida; Lamiales; Lamiaceae
Description: long non-coding RNA (SMIL_LNC013426)
Source: RNAcentral
CACACAGAUCAGAUCAGAUCUGCCAUGGCUGAAAUCGAAGGAGGCGGAGAUCAGAUCUGCCGAUGGAGGAGGCGGCGCAACGAUCAGAUCAGAUCCACCGCCGCCGCCUCAUCAGACCAGAUCUGCCGCCGCCGCCUCAUCCUCUACUCCGACGAAUUCUGCCCAGGCGGCGCGCUGGAGAGAGAGAGAGGGAGAUGAGAAAGAGAGAGGAGAGAGCGGCAGCCGCUGGAGAGAGAGAGAGGGAGGAUCUCCUCCACCGCCGCCGCCUCAUCCUCUA